GUUGCACCGUUGGUGAACGUCGUCUCGUCUGUCCACGAAACUUGCCAAAUAAAAUUAGCAUUUUCUCGAAUACGCCGUAAAGAAUAUCGGCGACGGUUUAUUCUUUCAAUUUCGUUCCUAGACCGCAAUGUUUGUCCACUGGAAAGUCGAUAGCUGGAACGGAUCGAAUUUCUUCAAGCAGUUCAAACAAUUGAUUCAACGAAUCACACAACGCCCACUUAAAUUUCGACUAGAUAUAUUCGCCCAUCUCGUUCUUUGAAGUACCACAUGGAAAAUUUUUAAAAAGCGAAGAAGCCCUCUAUGGAUACAUCUGAUGUCACUAUCAUGAAUUUUCGGUUUGGUCGACUUUUUUGUUCGAGUCCGAUGACUUAUGGCUGGCAAUGUAGGGGCAUAACAGGAUGCUCGUGCUUCUCCGAUGAGCACGAAAACGUUUACCGUACACGCUGCGACAAACCUCUAUUAUGCACGCGUGGCAAUAGAAUGAAAGUCAUUGUUCGCAAGGAAAGACGUCAACGACAGGAAUACAAAUUACAUAUUUUCACCGAUAAUAAAAUAUUAAAUCGGAAGCUUAUUUAAUGUUGAUGGAAAACUACCAAAUCGCUAAUUCAUACAAUAAAAUGCAUUCUUAAGCUAUGUUUCAUUAAAUGCACCUUCUAUAA
This is a long non-coding RNA of Bombus pascuorum, 659 nucleotides long. RefSeq lists it as uncharacterized. The transcript is spliced from 3 exons. The record is from RefSeq and is a predicted model, not a curated record. Lineage: Eukaryota; Metazoa; Arthropoda; Insecta; Hymenoptera; Apidae.